GGGGGUCUCUUUUUAUAGACAGGAGAGCGUAACCGAUUGACAGCGACGUCCGUAACUACCUGGUAGUGGGCCAUUCGGGGCCACGUGGAGUUUGUUACGGAGAGUAGUGGUGUCUGUUGUCGCGACUUGCCUGGGAGUUCGGACCGGACGGCUGAAGCUCGAUUGGGAUAUUUGGUGGAGCAGAAUAGCUCUCUGUCUCAGCAAUCUAAGAGAAGCUCGGAUGUUUUCGAGGUUGCAGACAGGUUAACUAUUGUUGGGUGCCUUAGGCGUUGAUGCUGCAGACGGAAGUCAUCUGCUGUAGAAGUCCAGACGGAAACUUUCUGUUGGAGAAAUCCGAUUGGAGUCCGAUUGCUAGAGAAGUCCAUUUGAAAUUUCUCUGAUGUAGAAGCUUGUCUGAAGACUGUCCGUUGGAGAGGUCCGGUUGCAUGAGGAAUCCGACAGAAGAUCGACCGAUAGCGGAAUUCAGAAGGCGUUGUGGAAGUUCAUUCGCUGGAGGAGUCUGGAGGACACUGUGGAAGGUCGACCGCUGGAGGGGUUCGGAGGGAAUUUAUCUAUUGGAGGGGUUUGGUUGGCACUGUUGAUGUUCGAUUGGCACUGUUGAAGGUUGAUGGCUGGAGAGGUACGAAAGAUACCAGAGGCAGUCGGUCACUGUAGAAAUCCAACUGCUGGAGCUCGUCCGUUGUAGAAGUUCGUCUGAAAUCCAUCCACUGUAGAAGUUCGGACGGAGUCCAGUUCUUGUAGGAGUGAGGCCGCUUACUGUAGAAGCUCGGAUGG
RNAcentral lists this long non-coding RNA (774 nucleotides) under Elaeis guineensis (African oil palm). RNAcentral describes it as "long non-coding RNA (EGUI_LNC056763)". Lineage: Eukaryota; Viridiplantae; Streptophyta; Magnoliopsida; Arecales; Arecaceae. The record is from RNAcentral.